UACGGAGGGUCCAAGCGUUAUCCGGAUUUAUUGGGUUUAAAGGGUACGUAGGCGGAGCUUUAAGUCAGUAGUGAAAGCCCAUUGCUUAACACUGGAACAGCUAUCGAUACUGGAGUUCUUGAAUAUAGAUGAAGUAGGCGGAAUACGGCAUGUAGCAGUGAAAUGCAUAGAUAUGCCGUGGAACACCAAUCGCGAAGGCAGCUUACUAAUCUAUGAUUGACGCUGAGGUACGAAAGCGUGGGGAGCGAACAGG
RNAcentral lists this unclassified non-coding RNA (253 nucleotides) under uncultured Cryomorphaceae bacterium. RNAcentral describes it as "contains 16S-23S intergenic spacer region". It matches the Rfam family "Bacterial small subunit ribosomal RNA", at positions 524 to 776 of the family's 1533-position model. Lineage: Bacteria; Pseudomonadati; Bacteroidota; Flavobacteriia; Flavobacteriales; Cryomorphaceae. The record is from RNAcentral.